RNAcentral lists this ribosomal RNA (3099 nucleotides) under Triticum aestivum (bread wheat). RNAcentral describes it as "partial small subunit ribosomal RNA". Lineage: Eukaryota; Viridiplantae; Streptophyta; Magnoliopsida; Poales; Poaceae. The record is from RNAcentral.
AUGGGUUCCAGUCCUGCUGCGCGUUCCAAUCCCAGCAGGACCGGAAAGCGGGGGGAUGCCGUGGGCGGUGGCAAUCCACCAAGCAGAUCUGCCAAGAAGUCCUCUGCUCUUCUCCCGAAGGGCUGGAGCGGGACGGCGUCGUACAGAUGUUCCCCGCACCUCAUCCCGCAGAUUGUGGGGCUUCUCAGCGAGGAGCAGAAGGGCUUCGUCAGAAAAAUCGGGUUUGGGAGCCUGCUGUCCAUGGCAGACUUCGAGAUUAACAAGGCCCUUACCUUGUGGCUGGUUGGCAGGUUCAGUUGUGAGACCGAGGCGCUCGAGUUUGAAGGCGGCGUGUCGAUUCCGGUCAGGCCGCUCGUCAAGUCUAUCCUUGGGAUCCCUUCAGGCCCCAUCCCAGUCGUGCAGUCUCCCUACAGUCACUUCUCUUCUACUAAAGUGAGGAAGGCAAAGGAACUGGCCGAAGAAAUGUGUGGCAUAACCGAGGAGGAACCCUUCUGUACAGCCUUCAUGAUGGUGAUACUCGCGAUUUAUCUAGCGCCAAAUACAACCAUGCUUGUCAACCGGUCCUUGCUCGGAGCUGCUCAGAAGGUUGGUAACCUCAAACAGAUGGACUGGUGCGGUUUCGUUGCUGACUAUCUCCUCAAAGGACUCAUGGAGUUCAAGGAAUCCGAUGCACCCUUUGUUCUUCUCAAGGGCUGUGUGCACAUUCUGAGCGUCAUUUUCAUUGAUCAUGUGAAACAUGCUGAAUUCCAAGUACCAAACGGCUUUCCACGCUUGCGCGUUGUCAGUACAGCGCAUAACAAAUGGGUAGCUUCGCAUCCCUUUGGUAGCUUGCUGGUACGUCGUCUAGAAGAGUCUGUCUAUGCUCCUGUGCUUAAUAAUGGAAAUGGUAACAUUGUUGAAGGCGGAGAAUGUGCUGAUUCUGAUACAAAUACUGAUGCUCUAGCCAAUCUGCCUGCUACCGACAAUGAUCAAAAUAACCAGCAUCCGGUUUCAGCAGGUCCUGCCAGCUUGUCCAUUGUUGUAGCGUUAGAGACAUCAGCUCAAUCUGCAGGUACAAACCAUCUUCACGGGGCCAUGGGUUCCAAUCCUGCUGCGCAUGCUAAUCCCAGCAGUAACGGAAAGCAGGGGAGUGCCAUGGAUGGUGGUAGUCCACCAAGUAGAUCUGCCAAGAGGCCCCGGAAGAGCGGGAGCGCGGUGUACAGAUGUUCCCCUCGCCUCAUUCCGCAGAUUGUGGAGCUUCUCAGUGAGGAGCAGAAGGGCUUCGUCAGAAAAAUCGGGUUUGGGAGCCUGCUGUCCAUGGCGGAUUUCGAGAUGAACAAGGCCCUUACCCUCUGGUUGGUUGGUAAGUUCAGUUGUGACACCAAUGCGCUUGAGUUUGGAGGCGGCUUAUCGAUUCCGGUGAGGCCACUCGUCAAGUCUGUCCUUGGGAUCCCUUCGGGCCCCAUCCAAGUCGUGCAGGGUCUCCAUGUUGACUAUGGUCUCUUCAGUCAGUACUGCUCUGUUAAAUUCAAGAACGCCAGGAAAUUGGCCGAGGAAAUGUGCAGCAUAACCGAGGAGGAACCCUUCUGUAUAGCCUUCAUGAUGACGAUACUCGCGAUUUAUCUAGCACCAAAUACAACCGUGCUUGUCAACAGGUCCUUUCUUGGAGCUGCUCAACAGGUCAGUAGCCUCAAACAGAUGGAUUGGUGCGGUUUCGUUGCUGACUAUCUUUUCAAAGGAAUCAGGGAGUUCAAGGAAUCAGAUGCACCCUUUGGUUGUCUAAAGGGCUGUGUGCACAUUCUGAGCGUCAUUUUCAUUGAUCUUGUGAAACAUGCUGCAUUCGAAGUACCAAACCGCUUUCCACGCUUGGGCUUUGUCACUACAGAGCAUAACAAAUGGGUAGCUUCACAUCCCUUUGGUAGCUUGCUGGUACGUCGUCUAGAAGAGUCUGUCUAUGCUCCUGUGCUUAAUAAUGGAAAUGGUAACAUUGUUGAAGGCGGAGAAUGUGCUGAUUCUGAUACAGAUACUGAUGCUCUGUCCAAUCAGUCUGCUACCGACAAUGAUCAAAAUAACCAGCAUCCGGUUUCACCAGGUCCUGGCAGCUUGCUCAUUGUUACAGGGUUAGAGACAUCAGCUCGAUCUGCAGAACACAUUAUUUUUCCAAGAAGUGGCGAGCAAUUGCAGUCUGCUGGGCCUUCUUCUGAACCGUAUUCUGCACAAAUUCCAAACGGGCUGGAGGUUCUUGCGGCUGCUGCCGAGAGCAGGAACAGGGAUUCACCGUCGACGAUGGAGAAGCAUGAUCGGAGCGCCAAAAGGGCAAGGGUGGAGCCGCCCAAUAGUGGGCAAAUGGUGCGAGCUGGAGAAGCCACCAUAAGGAUGGACAUGAGUUUGUUUAGUUGCCGCGUCUGCUCCCACCCCGUCAAGCCCCCUGUCUUCCAGUGCAAUGUCGGGCAUUUAGCUUGCGGCAGAUGCCUUGCGGAGCUCCCCGACGAACAGUGCCAGAUGUGUGAGCACGGCGGUGACUUUAGCCGCUGUCCAGUGAUGGACGACGUCGUCCUGUCGAGCACGAUGAAGUGCUCCCACGAAGGCUGCCACAUUUACGUCCCCUACCACGAGCUCGACGACCACCAGAGCACGUGCCCACACGGGCCCUGCUUCUGCACGGAGACCGGCUGCAGCUUCGCCGGCGCACCGGCGGCGCUCCUCGGCCAUCUCGCCGCCCUGCACUCAAUGCCAGUGCACAAGGUCCACUACGGCAGUGUCCAUCAGCUCCGGGUGUCGGAGCCACGGUUCCUGCUCCACGCGGAAGAGGACGACAGCGCGUUCCUCCUGGCCGUGGGCGUGCUCGGCAUGGCCACCGUCGCGUCCGUGGUGUGCCUCAGAGCGGGAGCAUACCCAGAGCCGCGAUACGCGGUCAAGCUCUGGGCGAACGGUCCGCCGCUACCGAGCAGCGCGGCGGGCAGCAUUCUGCUGGACAUGCAGGCGGUGACGAGCAUCGCCAGGCCCGGCGAGGUGGCGGUGGAGGAGCUGCCGUCGUUCCUGAUGGUGCCGCCGGCAUACCUGGUUGACUGUGGGGCGUACAAGGAGGUGUCCCUCGACGUUCGCAUUGACAGGAUGUGA